Molecule: ribosomal RNA, 450 nt
Filed under: uncultured Glomeromycotina
Lineage: Eukaryota; Fungi; Glomeromycota
Description: SSU rRNA
Rfam family: Eukaryotic small subunit ribosomal RNA
Source: RNAcentral
AGCAGCCGCGGUAAUUCCAGCUCCAAUAGCGUAUAUUAAAGUUGUUGCAGUUAAAAAGCUCGUAGUUGAAUUUCGGGGUUAGUAGGUUGGUCAUGCCUCUGGUAUGUACUGGUCUCACUGAUUCCUCCUUCCUGAUGAACCUUAAUGCCAUUAAUUUGGUGUUUUGGGGAAUUUGGACUGUUACUUUGAAAAAAUUAGAGUGUUUAAAGCAAGCUAACGCUUGAAUACAUUAGCAUGGAAUAAUGAAAUAGGACGUUCGAUCCUAUUUUGUUGGUUUCUAGGAUUGACGUAAUGAUUAAUAGGGAUAGUUGGGGGCAUUAGCAUUCAAUUGUCAGAGGUGAAAUUCUUGGAUUUAUUGAAGACUAACUACUGCGAAAGCAUUUGCCAAGGAUGUUUUCAUUAAUCAAGAACGAAAGUUAGGGGAUCGAAGACGAUCAGAUACCGUCGUAG